UACGGUCACAUCACGUUCAAGCACCCGUCCCCAUACGUUCACCGAAGUUAAGCAAUGUCGAACCUGGUCAUUACUUCGACGGAUGACCGCUUGGGAAUAUCAG
Non-coding RNA from Acanthosepion pharaonis, 103 nucleotides. NCBI's taxonomy places the organism in Eukaryota, Metazoa, Mollusca, Cephalopoda, Sepiida, Sepiidae. The record is from the annotation of a GenBank genome assembly.